This 468-nucleotide ribosomal RNA is filed under the name uncultured bacterium. RNAcentral describes it as "partial 16S ribosomal RNA". It matches the Rfam family "Bacterial small subunit ribosomal RNA", at positions 28 to 507 of the family's 1533-position model. The record is from RNAcentral.
GAUGAACGCUGGCGGCGUGCUUAACACAUGCAAGUCGAACGGUGAACACGGAGCUUGCUCUGUGGGAUCAGUGGCGAACGGGUGAGUAACACGUGAGCAACCUGCCCCUGACUCUGGGAUAAGCGCUGGAAACGGCGUCUAAUACUGGAUAUGUGACGUGAUCGCAUUGUCUGCGUCUGGAAAGAAUUUCGGUUGGGGAUGGGCUCGCGGCCUAUCAGCUUGUUGGUGAGGUAAUGGCUCACCAAGGCGUCGACGGGUAGCCGGCCUGAGAGGGUGACCGGCCACACUGGGACUGAGACACGGCCCAGACUCCUACGGGAGGCAGCAGUGGGGAAUAUUGCACAAUGGGCGCAAGCCUGAUGCAGCAACGCCGCGUGAGGGAUGACGGCCUUCGGGUUGUAAACCUCUUUUAGCAGGGAAGAAGCGAAAGUGACGGUACCUGCAGAAAAAGCGCCGGCUAACUACGUG